Clupea harengus (Atlantic herring) is the source of this 370-nucleotide RNA transcript. RefSeq lists it as uncharacterized. The record is from RefSeq and is a predicted model, not a curated record. Lineage: Eukaryota; Metazoa; Chordata; Actinopteri; Clupeiformes; Clupeidae.
CGUCACAUGAUCUCCAUAAACUCGCGGUACUUCGUUUAUAGGUCAACCCUCCCUACGCUUCCUUGUUCGCUGUGGAUGUGUGGGAAGUCCACAUCUGUAAACAACUUAAUCAUCACGGAAAAAGCACAUACAUGAGUAUGCUGUAUUAUAAUGAACCUUCUCCUCCUCGAGAUGGAAUGUCGAACAGGUUGAGCUCCUUGAUGGAACAAAGACUCAUCGAUACCAGGAUUGAAGAGUUUAUUAACUCUCCAGUGGGACGAUACCUGAAUGAUCACCCAUUAAUUGCACUGACCUUAGUGGUCUUUGCAAUAAUGGCCACAGUUCCUGUUGGACUUUUUCUUGGCUUUGGUCUUGUAACAUUUGCUGCCAC